This 65-nucleotide transfer RNA is filed under the name Strongyloides cebus. RNAcentral describes it as "tRNA-Ile". The record is from RNAcentral. Lineage: Eukaryota; Metazoa; Nematoda; Chromadorea; Rhabditida; Strongyloididae.
AUCAAAUUAGUAAAAUUUAUUAUAUGGUCUUGAUGUGGCUGGGUUUUCCUUUUGGAAAUUUGAUA